This 456-nucleotide ribosomal RNA is filed under the name uncultured bacterium. RNAcentral describes it as "bacterial SSU rRNA". It matches the Rfam family "Bacterial small subunit ribosomal RNA", at positions 340 to 786 of the family's 1533-position model. The record is from RNAcentral.
UACGGGAGGCAGCAGUGGGGAAUAUUGCACAAUGGGCGAAAGCCUGAUGCAGCUAUGCCGCGUGUAUGAAGAAGGCCUUAGGGUUGUAAAGUACUUUCAUCGGGGAGGAAAAACAAAACUAAUAAUUUUAUUUCUUGACGUUACCCGAAAAAGAAGCACCGGCUAACUCCGUGCCAGCAGCCGCGGUAAUACGGAGGGUGCUAGCGUUAAUCAGAAUUACUGGGCGUAAAGAGCACGUAGGUGGUUUUUUUAAAGUCAGAUGUGAAAUCCCUGGGCUUAACCUGGAACUGCAUUUUGAAACUGAAAUACUAGAGUAUCGUAGAGGGAGGUAGAAUUCUAGGUGUAGCGGUGAAAUGCGUAGAUAUCUGGAGGAAUACCUGUGGCGAAAGCGGCCUCCUAAACGAAUACUGACACUGAGGGUGCGAAAGCGUGGGGAGCAAACAGGGAUUAGAUACC